Molecule: ribosomal RNA, 253 nt
Filed under: uncultured bacterium
Lineage: Bacteria
Description: partial 16S ribosomal RNA
Rfam family: Bacterial small subunit ribosomal RNA
Source: RNAcentral
UACGGAGGGGGCUAGCGUUGUUCGGAAUUACUGGGCGUAAAGCGCGCGUAGGCGGACCUGCAAGUCGGGGGUGAAAGCCCGAGGCUCAACCUCGGAACUGCCUUCGAUACUGCGGGUCUCGAGUCCGGGAGAGGUGAGUGGAAUUCCUAGUGUAGAGGUGAAAUUCGUAGAUAUUAGGAAGAACACCAGUGGCGAAGGCGGCUCACUGGCCCGGUACUGACGCUGAGGCGCGAAAGUUAGGGUAGCAAACAGG